Molecule: unclassified non-coding RNA, 244 nt
Filed under: plant metagenome
Description: partial contains small subunit ribosomal RNA and internal transcribed spacer 1
Rfam family: Eukaryotic small subunit ribosomal RNA (bases 1-48)
Source: RNAcentral
AAUGUCGUAACAAGGGUUUCCGUAGGUGAACCUGCGGAAGGAUCAUUAAAUGAGAUAGGGUUCUCACGAGCCCGACCUCCAACCCUUUGUCUACCAAAGCCUCUGUUGCCUCGGCGGGCCGUCGGCUCCUUUAACUAGGCGCCGCCGUCGGCCUCUGCGCUCUCGAGUGCCCGGCCGCAGGACUAUACAAAAAGCUCUUUUGGAACGAGUAUAACUGAGUGGAAUUUAAUGCUUCAAUUAAAAC